AUGAUUUCCUGGGUUGCUGCAUUCUGGUAGGGUGUGUGAUUUGAACCCGCCCCGCCUGUAUACCCGAUUAAAAUUAGAGUUAGGUUUCAGGGUUCAAUUUACACACACACAUACACACACACACACAUAUAUAUAUAUAUAUAUAUAUUCAAAUAAGGACACAUCUAUUAUGGAGGAUGGUGAGGACUAAUAUUGUGCAUUGGAUUGUAAGAUUGGAUUUGUGUAGAUUUAGGAUGAAUUUGUAUUAAUUUUAGUAACAAAUAGGCAUGGCUUUUGGGUUUUGGAGAGUUUUGUGCCGCCGUAUCUAUGUUGGGCUUUUCUCGUUGGUGUCCUCGGCAUGCGUAGCAGUGAUGGCGGACGGAGGCAGUAGUCGGCAUCGACUGAAGAGAUCUGGGCAGACGGGCGUGACGGAUGGUCGAGCCUGGCCGAGUUAUUAUCAUCUAGAAAAUCCAGAGCAGCCUUUGCUUCGAUUCUAGCAUCCAUUGUGGCUUCUUUAUAUUGCCUUUUCUUUGGAUAUGUAGGUGCUGGAGGCAUGAGUUUGCUUCAAUUCUGCAACCCGAAUAGUUUUUGAAACAACUUCAUACUCAGGUUUUCAAUCUUUCUCGGAUUGUCUAUCCCUCAGUACUUCAGCGAGUACAUUGCCAUCAAUAGUUAUGGACCUGUUCACACUGGUGGGAGAUGGUUGUCUUAUUAUGAUGUGUCGUGAUGGCAAAAACAAAGUGAAUUGUGGAGUUUAUCUUAUGCGCCACAUGUAAAGUUACGCUGGGCAAGGGGUAAGUGAAUGGGAGUGUGGUCUUGUUAAGGAUUUAAUUGUUCGUUUUGUGGACUUUCUUUGGCAUUACCAUUUUGACAUGUUUGUAUUUUAUCAUAGAUGGACCCUAGUUGUUGAUCAAUUGUAGUUUAUUUUUUGGUCCACUGCUGGAAAUCAGCGAAUUUCCGACGACUUUUCCGACCACCAAAUAAUUUGGUCGUUAAAAAUGAGUUUUUUCCAUUCUUCUGUCGAGACGGAAAGUGGUCGGAAAUUUCCAACCACUUUCAAAAAGUGGUCGGAAGUGUCCGACCACCAUUAUAUAUGGUCGGAAAAAAGUUGACCGAUUCUAUUCCUCCAUCCGAAUGGUGUAGCGACCAUAUUUGUGGUCGGAAGAUUACGCGUUU
Ipomoea triloba (trilobed morning glory) is the source of this 1155-nucleotide long non-coding RNA. RefSeq lists it as uncharacterized. NCBI's taxonomy places the organism in Eukaryota, Viridiplantae, Streptophyta, Magnoliopsida, Solanales, Convolvulaceae. The transcript is spliced from 4 exons. The record is from RefSeq and is a predicted model, not a curated record.